Molecule: ribosomal RNA, 204 nt
Filed under: uncultured Lactobacillus sp.
Lineage: Bacteria; Bacillati; Bacillota; Bacilli; Lactobacillales; Lactobacillaceae
Description: partial 16S ribosomal RNA
Rfam family: Bacterial small subunit ribosomal RNA
Source: RNAcentral
CUAAUAACCGGAUAAGAAAAGCGGAUCGCAUGAUCAGCUUUUAAAAAGGACGGCGUAAGCUGUCGCUAUGGGAUGGCCCCGCGGUGCAUUAGCUAGUUGGUAAGGUAAAGGCUUACCAAGGCGAUGAUGCAUAGCCGAGUUGAGAGACUGAUCGGCCACAUUGGGACUGAGACACGGCCCAAACUCCUACGGGAGGCAGCAGAC